Molecule: long non-coding RNA, 405 nt
Organism: Pistacia vera
Lineage: Eukaryota; Viridiplantae; Streptophyta; Magnoliopsida; Sapindales; Anacardiaceae
Exons: 2
Source: RefSeq, a predicted model, not a curated record
GAAGUCUGUUUCUUCACUGCAGCCAGGGCAACUUCCCCCACCUCAUAUGCAUUCCAUGCAGCAGCCACAGUCACAACUUACUCAAGUUCAGCCCCAUGACAAUCAAAUGAACCCACAGAUACAAUCAAUGAACUUACAAGCCUAAGUGUGUGGUCUUCGGCAACAUUAAGAGUUGGAAACACUUUGUUUAGCUGGGAAUUAUUAUGACUAUGUUGAAGGCCUUGAGAAGCAUUAUAAAUUUACUACAUAUAUAGACUUGUAGCCCCAAAUAGUUUUGAUAUCAUGAUUCUGAGUUUCAAAGCUGAAACUAAAUAAUGUGGAUGGAUAUGAUCCUAAGACUUUUAAAAUCUUAAGAUUGUCAACUGAAUUGUUGUAUGAUUAUAGACUGCAAAAAGUUUUAACUUA